CUGGCUCCGCCACUGGUUGUGCCAGACACCUUAAUCCCUAUCCCCUUUAAUCCAUUGCAACCAUCACUACUGCUAUUAUCCUCAUGAUCAACAAAAUGCACCCCCACCCCUUGCUAACUUUCAUUAUUGUUGCAAUAUCUCUUGUACCAGCACAAGAGGCACAAAAGUCUUAAACGACGAGUCAUCUGCAUUAUCACAGUUAGAAGUGAAUACCAUAAGUGUAACCACAAGCAUACUCCUCCUUUAUAAUGAUCUCAACCAUCAAAUGAAGAUUUCUGUUUCAAAAUUAAAAUUAUAUUAGAUACGGGC
This 309-nucleotide long non-coding RNA is filed under the name Sorghum bicolor (sorghum). Its description in RNAcentral is "long non-coding RNA (SBIC_LNC009906)". Lineage: Eukaryota; Viridiplantae; Streptophyta; Magnoliopsida; Poales; Poaceae. The record is from RNAcentral.